CCUACGGGUGGCAGCAGUGAGGAAUAUUGGUCAAUGGGCGCGAGCCCGAACCAGCCAAGUAGCGUGAAGGAUGACUGCCCUACGGGUUGUAAACUUCUUUUAUAAAGGAAUAAAGUGAGGCACGUGUGCCUUUUUGUAUGUAUUUUAUGAAUAAGGAUCGGCUAACUCCGUGCCAGCAGCCGCGGUAAUACGGAGGAUCCGAGCGUUAUCCGGAUUUAUUGGGUUUAAAGGGAGCGUAGAUGGGUUGUUAAGUCAGUUGUGAAAGUUUGCGGCUCAACCGUAAAAUUGCAAUUGAUACUGGCAGCCUUGAGUACAGUUGAGGUGGGCGGAAUUCGUGGUGUAGCGGUGAAAUGCUUAGAUACCACGAAGAACUCCGAUUGCGAAGGCAGCUCACUGGACUGCAACUGACACUGAGGCUCGAAAGUGUGGGUAUCAAACAGGAUUAGAUACCCUGGUAGUC
This 460-nucleotide ribosomal RNA is filed under the name uncultured bacterium. Its description in RNAcentral is "partial 16S ribosomal RNA". It matches the Rfam family "Bacterial small subunit ribosomal RNA", at positions 338 to 795 of the family's 1533-position model. The record is from RNAcentral.